UACGUAGGGUGCGAGCGUUGUCCGGAAUUACUGGGCGUAAAGAGCUCGUAGGCGGUUUGUCGCGUUGUUCGUGAAAACUCACAGCUCAACUGUGGGCGUGCGGGCGAUACGGGCAGACUGGAGUACUGCAGGGGAGACUGGAAUUCCUGGUGUAGCGGUGGAAUGCGCAGAUAUCAGGAGGAACACCGGUGGCGAAGGCGGCAUCCUGGACCGAUACUGACGCUGAGGAGCGAAAGCCAGGGGAGCAAACGGG
RNAcentral lists this ribosomal RNA (253 nucleotides) under uncultured bacterium. RNAcentral describes it as "partial 16S ribosomal RNA". It matches the Rfam family "Bacterial small subunit ribosomal RNA", at positions 524 to 776 of the family's 1533-position model. The record is from RNAcentral.